GGUGAACGCUGGCGGCGUGCCUAACACAUGCAAGUCGAGCGGUGCAGUUUGAAGCUUCGGUGGAAAGCUGCAUAGCGGCGGACGGGUGGGAAAACGUAGGAACGUGCCCCUUCGGAGUUGGAUAGCCACGGGAAACUGUGGGUAAACCGACAUAGACUCGAGAGAGUAAAGGCCGAAAGGCGCCAAGGGAGCGGCCUGCGGCCCAUCAGGUAGUUGGUAGUGUAAAGGACUACCAAGCCGACGACGGGUAGCCGGUCUGAGAGGAUGGCCGGCCACAAGGGCACUGAGAGACGGGCCCUACUCCUACGGGAGGCAGCAGUGGGGGAUUUUGGACAAUGGGCGAAAGCCUGAUCCAGCGACGCCGCGUGGAGGACGAAGCCCUUCGGGGUGUAAACUCCUUUUCUCAGGGAAAAAGGAUGAUGGUACCCGAGGAAUAAGCCCGGCUAACUACGUGCCAGCAGCCGCCGGUAAAACGUCUACUG
Molecule: ribosomal RNA, 482 nt
Filed under: uncultured bacterium
Lineage: Bacteria
Description: bacterial SSU rRNA
Rfam family: Bacterial small subunit ribosomal RNA
Source: RNAcentral